RNAcentral lists this transfer RNA (82 nucleotides) under Eubacteriales bacterium. Its description in RNAcentral is "tRNA-Leu". It matches the Rfam family "tRNA". Rfam says of the family: Transfer RNA (tRNA) molecules are approximately 80 nucleotides in length. Their secondary structure includes four short double-helical elements and three loops (D, anti-codon, and T loops). Lineage: Bacteria; Bacillati; Bacillota; Clostridia; Eubacteriales. The record is from RNAcentral.
GCGGUCGUGGUGGAAUUGGCAGACACGCUGGAUUUAGGUUCCAGUGACGCAAGUCGUGCAGGUUCAAGUCCUGUCGACCGCA